UGAACGCUGGCGGCAUGCCUUACACAUGCAAGUCGAACGGUAACAGGUCUUCGGAUGCUGACGAGUGGCGAACGGGUGAGUAAUACAUCGGAACGUGCCCAGACGUUGGGGAUAACGAGGCGAAAGCUUUGCUAAUACCGCAUACGAUCUAAGGAUGAAAGCAGGGGACCGCCAGGCCUUGCGCGUUUGGAGCGGCCGAUGGCAGAUUAGGUAGUUGGUGGGAUAAAAGCUUACCAAGCCGACGAUCUGUAGCUGGUCUGAGAGGACGACCAGCCACACUGGGACUGAGACACGGCCCAGACUCCUACGGGAGGCAGCAGUGGGGAAUUUUGGACAAUGGGCGAAAGCCUGAUCCAGCAAUGCCGCGUGCAGGAUGAAGGCCUUCGGGUUGUAAACUGCUUUUGUACGGAACGAAAAGGCUCUGGCUAAUACCUGGGGCACAUGACGGUACCGUAAGAAUAAGCACCGGCUAACUACGUG
RNAcentral lists this ribosomal RNA (480 nucleotides) under uncultured bacterium. Its description in RNAcentral is "partial 16S ribosomal RNA". It matches the Rfam family "Bacterial small subunit ribosomal RNA", at positions 30 to 507 of the family's 1533-position model. The record is from RNAcentral.